RNAcentral lists this ribosomal RNA (2115 nucleotides) under Triticum aestivum (bread wheat). RNAcentral's name for it is "partial small subunit ribosomal RNA". Lineage: Eukaryota; Viridiplantae; Streptophyta; Magnoliopsida; Poales; Poaceae. The record is from RNAcentral.
AUGGGGUCCGGUUCCAAGGCUGCUUCAAGGAAGUCGACGGCGUCGUGGUCGUCGUCGUCCUCGUGGAGGUCACUCCUCCACGGUUGCCUCGGCGGGACCAUGGCGGCUGGGGAGAACGUCCCGGCAAGCGACGGGUUGGCGGAGCAGCCACUGCCGAUCGUCACGAACCACGACCUGCCGCUGGCGGCGUCCAACUCCAACCUGCACGCCUUCACGUUCGCGGAGCUGAGCGCAGCGACCGAGGGGUUCGCCUGCUGCAACCAGAUCGGCAGCGGCGAGUUCGGGACGGCGUACAGGGGAUUCAUCGUGGACGGUGUCCGGCCGGGGCUCCCCGCGCAGCUCGUCGCCGUCAAGCGGACACGGUGGCGAGUCGACGACUACGUCCAGGGAAUGGUGAAGGAGGCGAUGUUCCUUGGGGAGCUGCAGCUGCGGCAUCCCUGCCUGGUGAAGAUGAUCGGCUACUGCUGUGAGGAGGAGCACAGGCUCCUGGUCUACGAGUUCAUGGCCCAUGGCAGCUUGGACGACUACUUCUUCAAGCCUUUUUAUCGUCCUUUGCUGCCAUGGUCAACCAGACUAAGCAUUGUCUUAGCUACGGCGAAAGGGCUGGUGUCCCUCCACAGCGCCGAGAAGCCCUUGAUCUGCGGCGAAUUCAAUGCCUCCGACAUCCUACUGGACUCUGAUAACAAUGCCAAGAUCUCGCUCUCAGGCCUGAGGCUCGACACGAGAGCGAGCGACGGCUCGGUCACCACCACGCGCUCGCGCCUAGGAACUCCGCGCGGCAGCGCACCAGAGUACGUCGUGUCCGGCCAUCUCACCACGAAAUGCGACGUGUACAGCUUCGGGGUGUUGUUGUUGGAGAUUCUGAUCACAGGGAUGAAGUGGAUAGACAUGAAAAGACCAGAGGAGCGGGACCUGCUGGAGCACGCGCGGCCGAAUCUCGAAGACCCGGUUAAACUGGCAGGGAUCAUGGAUAAAGCGUUGAAGGGCAUCUACCCAGUGGCAGCUGCACACAAGGCUGCCCUGGUCACAUACAAGUGUCUCCAUGUCAAACCCGAGGACAGGCCAGACAUGUCGGACGUCAUGAAGACGCUGGAUCUGCUUACCGCGCACCUCCAUAGACCGACACACGGCCCGGAGCUUCACCGCGCAGCCGCCGGCGAACGCCGCCACCGCCGGCACGCCUCCGGCAAGGGGACGACACCCAAGAUGAACCAGCUCAUGAUACCAAUUGUAGCUAACUCACGUGAGCACGGACUGAUGCCGGCACACACACCCGUGCCCACCACGGACCAGACCUGGCGCGUCGACGCCGGUCACCAUCACAUGGGCACGGACAUGGCUUAUUGCCAACACUCCGAGCGCAGCCCGUCGCCGUCAAGAGAGCGCGAGCCGACGACUACCACUCCGAGGAACAUCUGGUACAUGAUCGGCUACUGCUACGAGGGGCUGCACAGGCUUCUCGUCUACGAGCUAAUGGGCCAUGGCAGCUUGGCAAACUACCUCUCCAACGAUAUCCGUGUUGUGUUGUCAUGGUCAACACGGUUAAGCAUUGCUCUAGCUACCGCGAAAGGGUUGUUGUCCCUCCAUGUUGAAGAGAAGCCAUUGAUCUCCGUCAAAUUUAACGCCUCCAACAUCUUACUAGACUCGUAUAACAAUGUCAAGCUAUCAGACCUGUGGUUCGCCAGAAAAUACGGGAAAGGUGACGAUCCUAACGUGUACACACUCAUAACAAGUGGGUACGGCUUUGCGCCGGAGUACGUCAUGUCCGGGGACUUCACCAAGAAGAGCGACGUGUAUUGCUUCGGAGUGGUGUUACUGGUGAUCCUAACUGGGCAGAGGUUGGCCUGGUUGGCCUGUGCUUCAGAACAGAACCUACGGAACCUACGACCACGCCUAAGAGACCCGCUCAAGCUAGGGAGGGUCAUGGACCCGGUGUUGAAAGAAAUUUACCCGGUGGCAGCGGCACAUGAUGCUUGCAUGGUUGCGUAUAGGUGCCUUCACGCAAGCCCCGGGAAACGUCCAAGCAUGUUGGCUGUUGUGGAGGCACUUGAUUUGCUUGUUGGUGUCACCGUCACGAACGAGGUCGAUGUUGGUCAGACAAGCACAAGGCCGUGA